GGCGGGCGCACGGUGCGAAGCCCGGGGGCGGUGCGGGUGCGGUCGCGGACAACCACAGCGCGCCCGGCGCCGGGGCGGUGGCCCCGCAGCCCAGGGUGGAGGCGGAGGCGCCCACCAGCCACCGUCUAGGCCGUCGUGCGAGCAGCUGAGAUGGCGUGGUGGCGGUAGCAGCUCCAGGCUGGCGCAGUGGCGGCAGUGCCAUGCGGGGCCGCCGCGCGGGGGCAGGUAGUCCCAGCUACCAGCGCGCCAGCCCCCGAGCUUGUCAACCGACCAGUAGCGGCCGGGCGGCGGCCCGAGGCGCUCCGCAUACGGGUAGGGGAAGUCGGCGAACCACCAGGGCUCCAGGCCACCGAGCGACGCUCCGCCCAGGCUCUCCGAAUCCUCGGAGUCCGAAGGCGAAGGCUCGAGGUCCAGGCCCCUGCCUCCUCGCUCCCUUUCUUACCCUGGAGAAGGCCAGUAGGAAAUCCAUGCGGUGGGUGGGCCCCAGACAGUGCCGCAGUCGCCAGUACACAAGGUGUUCCCAGGCGAAGACCAGCAAGGAGAGGCCCAUGGCCACGAGGAGCAUGUAGAAGACACCUGCCAUGUUGUCGAUAUCCAGCUUGCUGCUCAUCACCUCGAUUUUGUCGUUGUGGCAGAUCCCUGAAAGCCACAGCCGCUCCAGCAUCUCAAUCUCAUCUGAGGAUGAGGUCAGAGUCACUUAUUAGGAGCACGCUCUCCUCAGAUACAGAAUCCAGGCCCCAGACCCUUCCAAUCUUGAAAACCCUCCUCCCCAGGACCGAGGGCCAGCCCUCCCCUCUUCCAGAGUAGGACUUCAUGCCCAGCCUAGCCGCACCGUCCCCCAGGAACUGCAGCAGCGCCAGGUCGAUGGGCCUCUUCCAGCGGGAGCCCUUGUGUAGGGCGAUGCCAUAACCAGUGGUGGCGAAGACCUUGCCUGAGCCGAUGGUGACCAGCUUGCAGCCCUCAUCCUUUCGGGCCAUGUAGUUGAGCACUGCUGCGUCAUAGAUGAAGGCGUCCAGUUUCCUGAGGACAGGGGCAUGAAAGACAGGGUCAGUCUCAUUUAGAUGGCCUCACAGCCCUCCAGGAACACCUUUCACCCAGAACCUGCAACUGCCCAGGAUCGCCUGAGCAGAUAUUCCCUGUGCCUCUUUCCAACAUUGGGAAAAGAAGCAUUAUUGUAAAUGCCACCAAGCCCAAGUUUUUGCAGAAGUGAUAGUGCCUGGUGGGAAGGCGGUGCUGCAGAAAUGACAGCCAUUGUAACUGUCACGGGAAAAGGCUCUUAAUCCUCAUUGUAUCUUUCCAAAGAAGAUACUGGUUUGGUUUGUUCCUCUCUGUAGUCUUGGCUGUCCUGGAACUCACUCUGUAAACCACUCUGGCCUGGAAUUUAUAGAGAUCCACCUGUCUCUGCCUCCCAAGUGCUGGAAUUAAAGGCCUGCACCACCACUACCCAGUGGGUUGUGUUUUUAAUGGCAAACUCACUUUUAAAAGGUCCUAGGGACUGAGGAUGUAGCUCAGUGGCGGUAACAUGAGAGUUCACAGUCACUUAUAAUUCUGACUUCUGCAGUUACCUGCACCCAUGUGACACACUCACAUAGAUACAUACAUUAAAACAUUUUUUUUGUUUGUUUUUCGAGACAGGGUUUCUCUGUGUAGCCCUGGCUGUCCUGGAACUCACUUUGUAGACCAGGCUGGCCUUGAACUCAGAAAUCUGCCUGCCUCUGCCUCCCGAGUGCUGGGAUUAAAGGUAUGUGCCACCACGCCCGGCUCUAAAACAUAUUUUUAAAAGGCCUUUCAUUGUAUUAAUUGAACCCAGCCCCUGUAUAUGCUAGGCCAUCACUCAGACUGAGCCAGGCCCUGAGACCUCACUGGAGUGCUAGGCAGGCUCCCUACAGCCCAUGGUCGCGCAGUAGAAAGAGGUGUGACACUUAGCAGGGAAUGACAGAGUCAGUACUUAUAUUUGAGCUGUAUUGCGCUGCUUACCGUUCUGUCAGACACUGAUUCAUUUAACCCUCACAAGGUAGUUGUAGUACUGAAAACUUUGUAUCUGUUUUUCUUUCCAGAGGGAAGAUCGGGAAGUCAAGUCAUCCCCAAGUGUGGGGAGCACUACCGACCUUCCCCCCUAAUCUCAGCUUCUGGAGACUGCCAGCCCCAGGGAACUGGCACCUGCUUGUUCUCAUUCCCAGCCCGGCCAUGGCACACACAGAAUAAGUUGUGUGAAUGAGGCCGGGUGGUGGUGCCACCCACCUUUAGUUCCAGCACUUGAGAGGCAGAGGUUUCUCUUUGUUUAGGAAAAUGCCCUUGAGGGCAAAAGAGUGAAUUGCUCUCCACAUAUAAGUGGAAAUAAUUUGGUGUCUUCUCGGAGGAAUGCGUGGGAUGGACUCAAGGAGCAUUUCAGAGAGAGCUACAAGGCAACACUUCCAAGAUGGAAAGAGUGGAGGAGUCUCAGGGUCUCAGGAGGUGGAAUCAGACGGCACCGACUUUCUAGUCUUUCAUCCUAAUGGAACCAAGAGCCUGGAGCUAAACAUUUUCCACCACUGGGCUGCGUGUCAAGCCUAGCUUUUUUGUUGUUGUUGUUUUUUGGUUUGGGUUUUGUUUUUUUUUUUUUUUUUUUUUUUUUGGUUUUUUGAGACAGGGUUUCUCUGUGUAGCCCUGGCUGUCCUGGCACUCACUUUCUAGACCAGGCUGGCCUUGAACUCAGAAAUCCGCCUACCUCUGCCUCCCGAGUGCUGGGAUUAAAGGCGUGUACCCACUACCGCUCCGCUUUUUGAGAUCUAUUUUUUUAUUGCUAUAUGUGUAUGAGUGCAUUGCCUGCAUGUCUGUACAGCACAUACAUGCAGUUGCUGUAGAGGAUCCUCUACAGGAUCUCCUGGAACCGGCGUAACCGGUGGUUCUAAACCACUGUGUGGGUGCUGGCAACAGAACCUGGGCCUUGUGCAAGGACAGAUGCUCUAACAGCAGGCCGGCUCCCCACACACCCCAGCACUCAUUGUAACUAUCUGCUCAGUUCUGUGACCUAAUGCCUGCUUCCCUCCUUCAGCUACUUACUAUCUGGAACUUCUCCCUCCUAAAUCCUUACUUAAAUUCAAUCUUGGGCUGGAGAUGUAGCUCAGUAGGUAGGGAGGGCUGCCUAAAACUGUGCUGGGAGGGGCUGGGAUCACAACUCAGUGGUAGAGCACUUAAGUCAAGUGGGGGUGGGUUCUCAGACUUCAAAAGCCCAGGCCAGCCCCACUGCCCCCCCCCCCCCGCCUGUGAAUCAGGACCUAAGAGCUCAGCUACUGCUCUGGUGGCAUACCCAUGUGCUUCCUGUCAUGAUUAUCAUGGACUAACUCUCUAAAACUGUCAGCAGCAACCCCCACCCGCCCCCAAUUAAAUGCUUUCUUUUUUAAGAA
Molecule: long non-coding RNA, 3386 nt
Organism: Mus musculus (house mouse)
Lineage: Eukaryota; Metazoa; Chordata; Mammalia; Rodentia; Muridae
Product: predicted gene 45441
Exons: 3
Source: RefSeq, a predicted model, not a curated record